CGACAAACCUUGUUCGGUUUUG
Molecule: microRNA, 22 nt
Filed under: Drosophila ananassae
Lineage: Eukaryota; Metazoa; Arthropoda; Insecta; Diptera; Drosophilidae
Also listed under: 2 other names
Description: Dan-Mir-3-P1_5p* (star (passenger))
Source: RNAcentral